AACGAACGCUGGCGGCAUGCCUAACACAUGCAAGUCGAACGAGACCUUCGGGUCUAGUGGCGCACGGGUGCGUAACGCGUGGGAACCUGCCCUUAGGUUCGGAAUAACUCCCCGAAAGGGGUGCUAAUACCGGAUAAUGUCUUCGCACCAAAGAUUUAUCGCCUUUGGAUGGGCCCGCGUUGGAUUAGCUAGUUGGUAGGGUAAAAGCCUACCAAGGCGACGAUCCAUAGCUGGUCUGAGAGGAUGAUCAGCCACACUGGGACUGAGACACGGCCCAGACUCCUACGGGAGGGAGCAGUAGGGAAUAUUAGACGAUGGGCGAAAGCCUGAUCCAGCAAUGCCGCGUGAGUGAUGAAGGCCUUAGGGUUGUAAAGCUCUUUUACCCGGGAUGAUAAUGACAGUACCGGGAGAAUAAGCUCCGGCUAACUCCGUG
RNAcentral lists this ribosomal RNA (433 nucleotides) under uncultured bacterium. Its description in RNAcentral is "partial 16S ribosomal RNA". It matches the Rfam family "Bacterial small subunit ribosomal RNA", at positions 29 to 507 of the family's 1533-position model. The record is from RNAcentral.